CAUCAUAACCAGGGGUGCUCCGUAAGGGGCUGAGAUGCGCGAUGCUGCGCGAACCCUUUACAGCUGAUCCGGAUAAUACCGGCGGAGCGAGGGAAACAUGUUCAUUG
RNAcentral lists this non-coding RNA (107 nucleotides) under Ketogulonicigenium vulgare. RNAcentral's name for it is "TPP sequence". It matches the Rfam family "TPP riboswitch aptamer (THI element)". Rfam says of the family: Vitamin B(1) in its active form thiamin pyrophosphate (TPP) is an essential coenzyme that is synthesised by coupling of pyrimidine and thiazole moieties in bacteria. The previously detected thiamin-regulatory element, thi box was extended, resulting in a new, highly conserved RNA secondary structure, the THI element, which is widely distributed in eubacteria and also occurs in some archaea. Lineage: Bacteria; Pseudomonadati; Pseudomonadota; Alphaproteobacteria; Rhodobacterales; Roseobacteraceae. RNAcentral also lists the same sequence under 1 other name. The record is from RNAcentral.